This 860-nucleotide ribosomal RNA is filed under the name Helotiales sp. REF051. Its description in RNAcentral is "eukaryotic LSU rRNA". It matches the Rfam family "Eukaryotic large subunit ribosomal RNA", at positions 72 to 949 of the family's 3401-position model. Lineage: Eukaryota; Fungi; Ascomycota; Leotiomycetes; Helotiales. The record is from RNAcentral.
GGAUUGCCUCAGUAACGGCGAGUGAAGCGGCAACAGCUCAAAUUUGAAAUCUGGCUCUUUCAGGGUCCGAGUUGUAAUUUGUAGAAGAUGCUUCGGGUGUGGCUCCGGUCUAAGUUCCUUGGAACAGGACGUCAUAGAGGGUGAGAAUCCCGUAUGUGACUGGGUGCCUUCGCUCAUGUGAAGCUCUUUCGACGAGUCGAGUUGUUUGGGAAUGCAGCUCAAAAUGGGUGGUAAAUUUCAUCUAAAGCUAAAUAUUGGCCAGAGACCGAUAGCGCACAAGUAGAGUGAUCGAAAGAUGAAAAGCACUUUGGAAAGAGAGUUAAACAGUACGUGAAAUUGUUGAAAGGGAAGCGCUUGCAACCAGACUUGCACGCGGUUGAUCAUCCGGUGUUCUCACCGGUGCACUCUGCCGCGUUCAGGCCAGCAUCGGUUUUGGUGGUUGGAUAAAGGCCUAGGGAAUGUAGCUUCUUUCGGGGAGUGUUAUAGCCCUAGGUGCAAUGCAGCCUACUAGGACCGAGGACCGCGCUUCGGCUAGGAUGCUGGCGUAAUGGUUGUAAGCGACCCGUCUUGAAACACGGACCAAGGAGUCUAACAUCUAUGCGAGUGUUUGGGUGUCAAACCCAUACGCGUAAUGAAAGUGAACGGAGGUGAGAACCCUUAAGGGUGCAUCAUCGACCGAUCCUGAUGUCUUCGGAUGGAUUUGAGUAAGAGCAUAGCUGUUGGGACCCGAAAGAUGGUGAACUAUGCGUGAAUAGGGUGAAGCCAGAGGAAACUCUGGUGGAGGCUCGCAGCGGUUCUGACGUGCAAAUCGAUCGUCAAAUUUGCGCAUAGGGGCGAAAGACUAAUCGAACCAUCUAGUA